UAAGGAAUAUUGGUCAAUGGACGCAAGUCUGAACCAGCCAUGCCGCGUGCAGGAAGACGGCCCUACGGGUUGUAAACUGCUUUUGUACCGGAAUAAACCUUUUCACGUGUGAGAAGCUGAAUGUACGGUAAGAAUAAGGAUCGGCUAACUCCGUGCCAGCAGCCGCGGUAAUACGGAGGAUCCAAGCGUUAUCCGGAUUUAUUGGGUUUAAAGGGUGCGUAGGUGGCCUAUUAAGUCAGGGGUGAAAGACGGUAGCUUAACUAUCGCAGUGCCUUUGAUACUGAUGGGCUUGAAUACACUUGAGGUAGGCGGAAUGUGACAAGUAGCGGUGAAAUGCAUAGAUAUGUCACAGAACACCAAAUUGCGAAGGCAGCUUACUAAAGUGUUAUUGACACUGAGGCACGAAAGCGUGGGGAUCAAACAGGAUUAGAUAGCCCUGGUAGUCCACGCCCUAAACGAUGAAUACUCGAUGUUGGCGAUAUACGGUCAGCGUCUAAGCGAAAGCGUUAAGUAUUCCACCUGGGGAGUACGCCCGC
RNAcentral lists this ribosomal RNA (536 nucleotides) under uncultured bacterium. RNAcentral describes it as "partial 16S ribosomal RNA". It matches the Rfam family "Bacterial small subunit ribosomal RNA", at positions 355 to 889 of the family's 1533-position model. The record is from RNAcentral.